Molecule: ribosomal RNA, 265 nt
Filed under: uncultured bacterium
Lineage: Bacteria
Description: partial 16S ribosomal RNA
Rfam family: Bacterial small subunit ribosomal RNA
Source: RNAcentral
UAGGGAAUCUUCGGCAAUGGACGAAAGUCUGACCGAGCAACGCCGCGUGAGUGAAGAAGGUUUUCGGAUCGUAAAACUCUGUUGUUAGAGAAGAACAAGGAUGAGAAGAGAAUGUUCAUCCCUUGACGGUAUCUAACCAGAAAGCCACGGCUAACUACGUGCCAGCAGCCGCGGUAAUACGUAGGUGGCAAGCGUUGUCCGGAUUUAUUGGGCGUAAAGCGAGCGCAGGCGGUUCUUUAAGUCUGAUGUGAAAGCCCCCGGCUCA